AGGACGAACGCUGGCGGCGUGCUUAACACAUGCAAGUCGAACGGUAAGGCCCCUUCGGGGGUACACGAGUGGCGAACGGGUGAGUAACACGUGGGUAAUCUGCCCUGCACUUCGGGAUAAGCCUGGGAAACUGGGUCUAAUACCGGAUAUGAACUCCUGCCGCAUGGUGGGGGUUGGAAAGUUUUUCGGUGCAGGAUGAGCCCGCGGCCUAUCAGCUUGUUGGUGGGGUAAUGGCCUACCAAGGCGACGACGGGUAGCCGGCCUGAGAGGGUGAUCGGCCACACUGGGACUGAGACACGGCCCAGACUCCUACGGGAGGCAGCAGUGGGAAUAUUGCACAAUGGGCGAAAGCCUGAUGCAGCGACGCCGCGUGGGGGAUGACGGUCUUCGGAUUGUAAACCCUUUCAGUAGGGACGAAGCGCAAGUGACGGUACUGCAGAAGAAGCACCGGCUAACUACGUGCCAGCACGCCGC
This 474-nucleotide ribosomal RNA is filed under the name uncultured soil bacterium. RNAcentral's name for it is "bacterial SSU rRNA". It matches the Rfam family "Bacterial small subunit ribosomal RNA", at positions 26 to 518 of the family's 1533-position model. The record is from RNAcentral.